Molecule: small RNA, 19 nt
Filed under: Arabidopsis thaliana (thale cress)
Lineage: Eukaryota; Viridiplantae; Streptophyta; Magnoliopsida; Brassicales; Brassicaceae
Description: ATSL107810
Source: RNAcentral
GUUUUUGUGUUUUUUUGUU